UCUCCGUAGGUGAACCUGCGGAGGGAUCAUUACAGAGUUCAUGCCCUACCGGGUAGAUCUCCCACCCUAUGUUAUUAUUACUUUGUUGCUUUGGCGGGCCGUUAGGCUCCGGCCCGACUACCGGGCCCGGCUGGUAAGCGCCCGCCAGAGGACCCAAAACCCUGAAUAUUAGUGUCGUCUGAGUACUAUAUAAUAGUUAAAACUUUCAACAACGGAUCUCUUGGUUCUG
This 229-nucleotide unclassified non-coding RNA is filed under the name plant metagenome. RNAcentral describes it as "partial contains small subunit ribosomal RNA, internal transcribed spacer 1, and 5.8S ribosomal RNA". The record is from RNAcentral.